Molecule: ribosomal RNA, 301 nt
Filed under: uncultured bacterium
Lineage: Bacteria
Description: partial 16S ribosomal RNA
Rfam family: Bacterial small subunit ribosomal RNA
Source: RNAcentral
CAGCCGCCACGGUAAUACGAGGGGGGCAAGCGUUGUUCGGAAUCAUUGGGCGUAAAGGGUGCGUAGGCGGUUUGACAAGUCUUAUGUGAAAUCUCUGGGCUCAACCCAUAGUCUGCACGGGAAACUGUCGGGCUUGAGAAUGGGAGAGGAGAGUGGAAUUCCACGUGUAGCGGUGAAAUGCGUAGAGAUGUGGAGGAACACUAGUGGCGAAGGCGACUCUCUGGUCUGUAACUGACGCUGAGGAGCGAAAGCGUGGGGAGCGAACAGGAUUAGAGACCCGCGUAGUCCCUGUCUCUUAUAA